This is a long non-coding RNA of Vombatus ursinus (common wombat), 892 nucleotides long. RefSeq lists it as uncharacterized. The record is from RefSeq and is a predicted model, not a curated record. Lineage: Eukaryota; Metazoa; Chordata; Mammalia; Diprotodontia; Vombatidae. The transcript is spliced from 3 exons.
CCGCCCUCGGGCUCCCCACUCUGGGGCUCCUUGAGCACGUGGGCGCUGCCGGCUUGGGAGGUGAGGCGAACAUCCAUCUGACUAGAAGUCAGGCCAGCAUUGGUACCUAGAGAAGAAAGGAGUAACCUUCAGGAGUCAGCCCGAUUGUAGCUGAGACUGGGACUCAUGCAGUAGUUAUACGGCAUCUGGAUGUGAACUUGGGACAAAUGUUAUGCAGAAUUAAGCUCGGUUUGAGCUCACUCUCCUCUGGAGAUACAGAGGGGUGGGGAUGAGUGUGCUCCCUCCUUGUCCCCAGGUGUUGAGGCAAAGCAUUUGUACUUCUGUUAUUGCUACAUCUUUGAAGUGACAAGAAAGGAUUUUCUGUGAAGAACUCUGAUUCUACCCUAUCAGACAAAAGCUGGCUAGCUCUGAAGAGAAGAGCCCAGAAAGUAGUGACAACAUCCAGAGGAUUGAUAUCGAGACCAGCAGAGCAACAUGUCACUGGAGACUCUGCUAAGAACAGAAGAGCUCAACAUGUUUAUAGAUACUAUACCAUUGUACAUAACACCAUGAGAGGUGUGAGGUGACUCAUCCUUCAUAUCCCUAUUUGUGAGCACCACAUACAUGAUUCCCAUGCAAGCUCACUUUCCCCAAUGAUAACAUGUAAAGUUGUGGGAAAGUAUACCCAUAUUUAUGGGAGGAAAUACAGAAAAUAUAUGCAGAAUUAAGUAAUGACAAUGUAAUAAACCACCAAAGAACAAUCAAAAGUCAAAGCUGCAAAAUUACGAAGAACAAACAGUGAAGUGAUAUGAGAAGGCACAGCUACCCCACUCCUUUGCAGAGAUGGAAGGUACACAGGUGUAGACCAUUCUUCUUUACUAUGCUAUUUCAUUAAAUACCUUUGCUAUAACCA